This 468-nucleotide ribosomal RNA is filed under the name uncultured bacterium. RNAcentral's name for it is "partial 16S ribosomal RNA". It matches the Rfam family "Bacterial small subunit ribosomal RNA", at positions 28 to 507 of the family's 1533-position model. The record is from RNAcentral.
GACGAACGCUGGCGGCGUGCUUAACACAUGCAAGUCGAACGGAAAGGCCCUGCUUUUGUGGGGUUCUCGAUUGGCGAACGGGUGAGUAACACGUGAGUAACCCGCCCUUGACUUUGGGAUAACUUCAGGAAACUGGGGCUAAUACCGGAUAGGAGCUCCUGCUGUAUGGUGGGCGUUGGAAAGUUUGGGUGGGUGUGUAUGGACGGGAGGUUUAUCAGUUUGUUUGUGGGGUAGUGGGUUACUAAGGUUUUGACGGGUAGCCGGCCUGAGAGGGUGCCCGGCCACAUUGGGCCUGCGGUACGGCCCAGAGUCCUACGUUACACACAAGUCGGAAAUAUUGCACAAUGGCCGGAAGCCUGAUACGGCAACGCGGCGUGCGGGAUGCCGGCCUUCGGGUUGUAAACCGCUUUCUCCUUUAACAAGGCUUGAGUGACUAUCAUCCAUAAAGAAUCACCGGCUAACUACAUG